UUUAGCCCAUUUAUUCUUAUUCAAUUGGGCUACUUUUAAUAUAGCCAUUAUUUCCUUAAUUCAAUUUUUUUCAGCAGAGAUUUUCUUCCUCCCCUCAACUCACGUUGAAACCGCCCCACUCUUCUCACCCCUAAAUCUCUCCCGUAUCUUUAACAACCAUUCCUCUAUAUUACUCCCAACACCAACUCAUAUAUUCAAAAUCGGAGGAAAGUAACAUAGAGAAAUCUUCUACGUUCCAAUUGCUCGAUCAAACUAAAGUUUGAGGAUAAAAAAAAUACAAAACUGCCGUGAAUUCAAUUCCUUCUGCUGCUAGGCAAUUUCUCAUCUCCAAAGGUGAUUCCUUGCAAGCGGGACGUGAUAUCGAGGGAAAGGAAAUUAAUUGUGGAGUUAAGCAUU
Salvia splendens (bonfire salvia) is the source of this 396-nucleotide long non-coding RNA. RefSeq lists it as uncharacterized. NCBI's taxonomy places the organism in Eukaryota, Viridiplantae, Streptophyta, Magnoliopsida, Lamiales, Lamiaceae. The record is from RefSeq and is a predicted model, not a curated record. The transcript is spliced from 3 exons.